This 484-nucleotide ribosomal RNA is filed under the name uncultured bacterium. Its description in RNAcentral is "partial 16S ribosomal RNA". It matches the Rfam family "Bacterial small subunit ribosomal RNA", at positions 30 to 507 of the family's 1533-position model. The record is from RNAcentral.
AUUGAACGCUGGCGGCAGGCCUAACACAUGCAAGUCGAGCGGAUGAAGGGAGCUUGCUCCUGGAUUCAGCGGCGGACGGGUGAGUAAUGCCUAGGAAUCUGCCUGGUAGUGGGGGAUAACGUCCGGAAACGGGCGCUAAUACCGCAUACGUCCUGAGGGAGAAAGUGGGGGAUCUUCGGACCUCACGCUAUCAGAUGAGCCUAGGUCGGAUUAGCUAGUUGGUGGGGUAAAGGCCUACCAAGGCGACGAUCCGUAACUGGUCUGAGAGGAUGAUCAGUCGCACUGGAACUGAGACACGGUCCAGGCUCCUACGGGAGGCAGCAGUGGGGAAUAUUGGACAAUGGGCGAAAGCCUGAUCCAGCCAUGCCGCGUGUGUGAAGAAGGUCUUCGGAUUGUAAAGCACUUUAAGUUGGGAGGAAGGGCAGUAAGUUAAUACCUUGCUGUUUUGACGUUACCAACAGAAUAAGCACCGGCUAACUUCGUG